This 396-nucleotide ribosomal RNA is filed under the name uncultured bacterium. RNAcentral describes it as "partial 16S ribosomal RNA". It matches the Rfam family "Bacterial small subunit ribosomal RNA", at positions 523 to 917 of the family's 1533-position model. The record is from RNAcentral.
AUACGUAGGUGACAAGCGUUAUCCGGAUUUACUGGGCGUAAAGGGCGUGUAGGCGGUCUUGCAAGUCAGAAGUGAAAUUCCUGAGCUCAACUCGGGCGCUGCUUCUGAAACUGCAGGACUUGAGUGCUGGAGGGGAUAGCGGAAUUCCUAGUGGAGCGGUAAAAUGCGCAGAUAUUAGGAAGAACACCGGUGGCGAAGGCGGCUAUCUGGACAGUAACUGACGCGGAGGCGCGAAAGCGUGGGGAGCAAACAGGAUUAGAUCCCCUGGUAGUCCACGCCGUAAACGAUGAAUACUAGGUGUAGGGGGUAUCGACUCCCUCUGUGCCGCAGUUAACACAAUAAGUAUUCCGCCUGGGGAGUACGGCCGCAAGGUUGAAACUCAAAUGAAUUGACGAG